UACGUAGGGUGCGAGCGUUAAUCGGAAUUACUGGGCGUAAAGGGCGCGUAGGCGGCCUACUAAGUCAGACGUGAAAUCCCCCGGCUUAACCUGGGAACUGCGUCUGAUACUGGAAGGCUUGAGUAUGGGAGAGGGAUGUAGAAUUCCAGGUGUAGCGGUGAAAUGCGUAGAUAUCUGGAGGAAUACCGGUGGCGAAGGCGGCAUCCUGGACCAUUACUGACGCUGAGGCGCGAAAGCUAGGGGAGCAAACGGG
This 253-nucleotide ribosomal RNA is filed under the name uncultured bacterium. Its description in RNAcentral is "partial 16S ribosomal RNA". It matches the Rfam family "Bacterial small subunit ribosomal RNA", at positions 524 to 776 of the family's 1533-position model. The record is from RNAcentral.